GCCCGGAUGGCGGAACGGUAGACGCGGCGGCCUCAAAAGCCGCUGUCCGCGAGGGCGUGCGGGUUCGAGUCCCGCUCCGGGCA
RNAcentral lists this transfer RNA (83 nucleotides) under Actinomycetota bacterium. Its description in RNAcentral is "tRNA-Leu". It matches the Rfam family "tRNA". From Rfam's summary of the family: Transfer RNA (tRNA) molecules are approximately 80 nucleotides in length. Their secondary structure includes four short double-helical elements and three loops (D, anti-codon, and T loops). The record is from RNAcentral. Lineage: Bacteria; Bacillati; Actinomycetota.